GUGGGGAAUCUUAGACAAUGGGCGCAAGCCUGAUCUAGCCAUGCCGCGUGAGUGAUGAAGGCCCUAGGGUUGUAAAGCUCUUUCAGCUGGGAAGAUAAUGACGGUACCAGCAGAAGAAGCCCCGGCUAACUCCGUGCCAGCAGCCGCGGUAAUACGGAGGGGGCUAGCGUUGUUCGGAAUUACUGGGCGUAAAGCGCGCGUAGGCGGACUGAAAAGUUGGGGGUGAAAGCCCGGGGCUCAACCUCGGAACUGCCUUCAAAACUAUCAGUCUGGAGUUCGAGAGAGGUGAGUGGAAUGCCGAGUGUAGAGGUGACAUUCGUAGAUAUUCGGAGGAACACCAGUGGCGAAGGCGGCUCACUGGCUCGAUACUGACGCUGAGGUGCGAAAGCGUGGGGAGCAAACAGGAUUAGAAACCCGGGUAGUCC
Molecule: ribosomal RNA, 425 nt
Filed under: uncultured bacterium
Lineage: Bacteria
Description: partial 16S ribosomal RNA
Rfam family: Bacterial small subunit ribosomal RNA
Source: RNAcentral